RNAcentral lists this long non-coding RNA (6071 nucleotides) under Sus scrofa (pig). RNAcentral's name for it is "lncRNA (ENSSSCG00025003673.1)". Lineage: Eukaryota; Metazoa; Chordata; Mammalia; Artiodactyla; Suidae. The record is from RNAcentral.
GGAUCCGGCGUUGCUGCGAGCUGUGGUGUAGGUUGCGUACAUGGCUGGGAUCCCACCAUUGCUGUGCCUGUGGCAUAGGCCAGUAGCUGUAGCUCCUGUAGUUCCUAUUCAACCCCUAGCCUGGGAACUUCCAUAUGCCUCAGGUGCGGCCCUAAAAAAGGCCAAAAAAAAAAAAAGAAUAACAUUAAGUAUUUUUCAUAUGUUUUCAAAGAAGUUCAGUGUAUGAAAAUAUGUAUGUGCACCUUUCUAAACAUGCAUUUUGCUUUGAAAUUGUGUAGUUGAUGAGUUUUACUUGCUUAGUCAACACUUGAAAAGUUUUAAGAAGUAAAAACUGUUUAUCCUGUGUAAGAAUUUUAAGAUACCAUAGAAAAAGCUGUAGUUUUAAUAAGGUUGAUUUGUCAAAAUACACCCUACUUCCAGAUUAUUCAUUUCAGCCUAACACGGUAACUCUAUUUUUCCUACCAAAUAUUGAUUUAGAAAAGAGCAGGUGCAGUAAUCCAGGCCUAUGAGACAAGAGCAGAAUCAGCUGAGGAAUUCUGCCAAGUUUUCUUGUUCAUUAGAAAAAAAAAAAAUAGGAAGACAUUCCCUCUUCUUUCUCUGAAUGUUAAGACAUUAAGAUGCUGCACCCAUCCUGUGACCACCACUGAGAAGCCAAUGGUACAGGCAAGAGAUGGGGAGAACCUGCAUCUUUAGUGGCAUCUUUGGAUUGGGCUGUGCCUGGAGCCCACCAUAGCACCUUAGACUUCUUGUAAUGUAAGAUCAUAAAUUUUAGCUAGUCUGAGUCUGUUUUUUUUUUUUUUUCUUACCUGUAAUUGAAAAACCUCCUAAAUGAAAAAGAAUAGAUAAUGAAACCUUACGGGUGAAAUAGAACAGCCCAGAAGAACAAAAUGGAACUACAGCAACAAAGACAGAAUAUUAAAGAGAGAAGCAAAUCUCUAUGAGAAGUAGAGUGAAAUGUCCAAAGGCUAAUCAAAAAAAGUACCAGGUGCAAUUAAAUGAACUGUAUUCAGUGUUGAGCAUCACACAUUCAGUGUUUAUAGCUUAUGUGCUCUCAUGCAAGAUGUUGGUGAGAAGUGUUAAUCAAAUUAAUUUUUAUUUUAACUUUAUUAACAACUAUGAGGACAGGCUAGAACUAUGGAUAUUACUUUCCAGAAUAUUCCAGAUAAUAUGUUUAAAAAAUUAAUUAGGGAAGUUCCCAGGCUAGGGGUCAAAUCGGAGCUAUAGCUGCCAGCCUCUGCCACAGCCACAGCAAUGUGGGAUCUGAGCCGUGUCUGUGACCUACACCACAACUCACGGCAACUCCAGAUCCUUAACCCACUGAGCAUGGUCAGGAAUUGAACCUAUGUCUUCAUGGAUGCUAGUCAGAUUUGUUAACCACUGAGCCACGACAGGAACUCCAUCAUCUGAAGUAUUUUUAACUUUUCUUCAAGGACUACUUUUAUCUUUAGAAAAGAGCAUUUUCAAAGGACACAUUUUAGAAAGCACAAUUUUGAUUGUCUUUGUCUUAUGUAUUCUAUUUUAAAAUUAAUUAAAGCAAACUGGGGAUAAAUAAUCGGUGUAUCUGAGAUAAAGACAAUGUCCACAUGUGUUUUAAUUUAAUUGCUUUUUAAAGAGCACAGGGGAAGACUAAGCAGUCAAAUAAAUUUUCCAGGCUAUCUGUAAUAAGCAGAAGGAGUCAGCUCAUUAAAUAUAUGCAGUGGAAUGAUAAAUAACAGAUGAAGUGUUUUAUCCAUAUAGGAAAGAGAAUAAAGUAUGUGUGGAUUUGAACCUGUCCAAGUCCAAUCAUCACUGAAUCCCACUGUCCCCUGCUGUCAACCCAAAGCAUUCACAACUUUACAACUGGAUUGAAUGGCUGAUAUAAGUACGAAGUUAGUUGAUUAGUUUCAGUGACAUUAUGCUGUAUGGUCUCCCAAACUGAGGUCUACAGAAGACUCAUCUCAUGAAGUGCUCUUAGUAAGGAGUAAAGAAAGCAAAUGAGGCCAAAUGUAGACAGUUGUCAAUCUGGAUUAAGGGUCCUUUCAAUUUCCACAGGUUUGAAAAUUUUCAACAUCAGAAGUUGGUGGAGGAAGGGGGAAUAAGGCAGAGGCUAGGUCCAAGAAGUUAAUUGGUGUUAGAAAUUAACCUUUAAAUACAGUGAGGACAGUAGCAUAAUUUAAGGGUCAUUGUGAGAAAACAUGUACGCAGGUACUUAGGAGAAAGUUUCUAUGCAUCGUUCCAGAUGAAUCUCCUUGUCUGAAAGGCAGUGGGACAGUAGUUGGGCUGCUGAGGCAUUGCCUGCUUUCCUAUCUAGGGGAUCUCUUUCCUUCUGAGUUUAGCCUAGUCCCAUAUUUGAUACAAAGGUGUCUAUGGCCAUACAAUAGUGAGCUAAUGGUACUUGCAUUAGGAUGAUCUGCCUUUUAAAAGUCAUAAACCCUUAUUUUUGUUGGAUUAUAAUAUAGGGAUAAUUGGAAUGUAAUUUCUUCAACAUAAAUAAUAAAUACUUAGAAUGUGGCACACUUAUCUAGAUAAAUUACAAUUUCUACAGAUUUUUCUCUAUAGUAAUUUAAACUCAAAUUUUGUGAUUACAUACUGUAGCUUAAAAAAGCAUCCAUUAUGGGAAAGCCUUAACAAACAUAACUAGCAUCUUCUGUAUGUUUUAAAACCUACCAAAAUUAAUUUGAUAUGUUUUUUGUAGUUGUUUCAUUGAUGUUAGAAAUUGGAAUUUCUUUGUUUGACAUUUGACUAUACGGAUUCAUAAGUUAAACAGUUCAUUAAUUGGGUACAGGUAGGCAUAAGUAUUCUUUUUAUCAUUGAAAUAAGGCCUAUUUUGAAAUAACUAAAUAAUUGUUAGCAAGAAGUUUUGUUUUGUUUUGUUUUAACUACGAGGCUAUUCAAUGUUCAUUAAAUUUAUUUUGACUUCACAAAUAUUUCUCUGUAAGAAUGUUGUUUUCCCAGUUGCCUUGCCAUUUGAACUUACUUUGUCAUUUUUAUAUGGUUGAAGACUAGCUCCUUGGUUCUUUUUUUUUUUUUUUUUCUCUCCAGAGGUUCAUAGUGUAUUGUCUUACAUGUCAGAUGCCAAAUGUUUAACUAUAAAUAUGUUCAGUUAUCGCUGAGAAACAACCAUUUUAAUUCCCAGAGUGUCUUAAUAUUCUAGUAUCCAUGAAACUCACAUAGCCAUUUAUUUUUUUAAUUUUUUUUUCUCCUCUGCUUCCCAGUGCCACAGCCAUGGCAUAUGGAAAUUCCCAGCCUAGGGGUCCAAUUGGAGCUAUAGCCGCCAGCCUAGGCCACAGCCACAACAACAUCAGAUCCAAGCUGCAUCUGCGACCUACACCACAGCUCACAGCAAUACCAGAUCUUUAACCCACUGAGUGAGGCCAGGGAUCAAGUCCACAACUUCAUGGUUCCAUAGUCAGAUUCAUUUCUGCUGCACUAUGACAAGAACUCCUCACACAGCCAUUUAUGUUGAAAUCAAGAUCAUUUGGGGAUGGAAAUGCUUUAUGGUCAUCAAGCCCUUCAGAGCUACCAGCAGAGCAGGUCUGUCAUAAUUUAAGUCAAAUCAAUAACUAAAAUAGCAUCUUUGCUAGGUUCUUCUAGGCCUUGCAGCAGUAAGCUCCCUUGAACAGAUCUAAUAUUGACCUUGUUUAAGGGAAGCUUUCAUGUAUUUGCUGAGGUAUUUGUUGACUUUCAAAAGACAACUUCAAUGCAAAGCGUUUUGUAAGUACAUGACAUACUGUUAGUAUAAACUUAUGAAGAGUUUCAAGUGUAGCCUGGUAAAAAUCCUGUCUCUACAUAGUUACAUAAUUCUAAAGCACAGAAAAGACAGACAUCUGACCCAAAAUGAACUUGAAGGAAUCGGGGUUGGCAGUGAGAGUGCAAAAAUAGACAUAUGCAGGAAAACCUUUAGAAUGUAAUUUAUUAUUCAGAUUUCGAUUAAAAUAGUUGGAUUAGAUGAUUCUCCCACGUGGCUAUAGCCAUAUCCAGAAGUCUUUUAGCUUUACUUCCAAGCACAACAACAACCUUCAUCUGUCAGCCAAACUAAAGGCUUUCCCUUGUAACUGCCCAUAUAUAGCCCAGUUUGAAGCUCCCCCAGGUUGGUAGAUGGUCAUUGCUAUGCUCAGUGUUGCCCUGUUGCCAUUUCCCUUAUGACAUGAAAACUGUUUUCCUGAACAUUAGGCCUGUAGAGUCAUGGCUUAAGUAAAGCCAGAGGGGCCUGGAUGGCUUUGUGAAGAUGGUGGAUCUCUGAGUGAUACAAGAAAACAGUGGAUAUUCCUCAUCCUCCUGGAAGACAGCUUCCAGGAUUAUUCACUGAAAAUUUGUGCUUCAUGUAACUCUCUAAAAUUCUCCAGUGUUGACAUGGUAAUAAUGAUUUCCCAUAAAUAGAGUGGAUAUACACUAUGCAUUUUUGAUUAUUCACUAAAUGUUUGAAGUAACUGUGAAUUCUGCAAAAUCGUCAAAGGAGUUCUUCAAUGCAUUAAUUUUAUAAAAAGAUGGUGACAUUUCUUUGCACAGCUGGACAUUAAUAUUUACUAUAUGUUUUGUACGUGGGAAAUUAUUUUGGCCAUUGUCCUAUUCUUACAGUGUGACACUGAAAGCCCUCUGUCAAAAGAUGAGAAUUUGUUAUCUUUCCUUGGUGGCAUAGCAGACUGUUACAGUGCCUCAAAUCUUAAAAUAAGAGGCUUUGACUUCCAAGCCACAUCAUUAAAGACUUCACAGGGUCCAUCUUGUUUUCUUGGAUUGUUGAAUUAUGGGGCCGGGUAUCAUGUCAUGAGGACCUUGAAGCAAUCCUUUGGGAACAGACAGCUAUGUGGAGAGAGCCUGAGGCCACCAGCUAACACCCACUUGUCAGCCUUGUGAGUGAGCCUCCUGGGGAACUGAUCCCUAGCUCCAGUCAAACCCUUAAUGGGUCCUUCAGGCUCAACCAACCCAUCACUACACUGCGUGAAAGACCCUAAACUAGACGUACCCAGUCCAAUUUCUCAGGUUCCUGUCCAACAAAGACUAUGAAAAAUAAUAAGCCAUCAUUACUGCUUUGAUCCACUAUGUUUUGGGGUGGUUGCUUUCUGUAGCAGUUGUUAGCAGACACUUAUUUUGGUUGCAUAUGUAUGUUCAUUAUAUGUUCUUCUUUUGUGCAUGUGGAGAAAUGGGCUUUCUGGCUGCUAAACAGCAGGAGGUAGAGACCUUGUUUGGAAAAGGCCUUUGAAUCUACUUUCUCCUUCCAAGAAAUAUGUGGCCUUGCAGAUGCUGAACUUGACUUAAGAACAAGGAGUUCUCAGAGUUUCUAAACAAUGUACAAAAGUUUAUGCAUUGUUAAAGUCCUUCUUAAAAAGGUUAUUUAAGCUCACAGAAGAAAAGGUGGCCUUCUAGCAAAAAUCUGAGCUUUUCAGACCUGGUAAAAUUCCUUUCUUGAGUGUACAGUGUUACUCCAUCUGUGAAUGUCCAUGUGGACUCCUGGGCUCAGGAAGGCUCUGCUGUAAGAGACUGAGUCAGCUCCAGCCUUGCCUCUUAAGACCAGACAUCAUAAUUAAGGGGAGUAAAGAAUUAAUCUUGUGUGAACUCUUCCCACCCAGCUAACCAAUGUGAAAAGCAACAGUGAAAGAAGAAAAUGACAGAAGUCAAGUUGAUUACUUAUGUAGGUGAAUUAGUCAGGAUUCUCCAGAGAAAUAGAAGCAAUAUAUGUAGUUGACCCUAAAUAAUGGUGACAUGAGGGGAACCAACCAUCCCCGCCCCACACAGUUUAAAACCCGUGUAUAAUUUUAAGUGGGCCCUGUAUCUGCGGUUCUACAUCUGUAACCAGUCGCAGAUCCUGUAGUACUAUAGUUCAUAUGAACUGAAAAAAAAUCCACCUAUACAUGGAACUGAGAGGUUCAAAGCUGUGUUCAAGGGUCCACUAUGGGAGUUCCCAUUGUGGCACAGUGGAAACGAACCGACUAGCAUCCAUGAGGAUGUGGGUUUGAUCCCUGGCCCUGCUCAGUGGGUUAAGGAUCCAGCAUUGCCCUGAGCUAUGUUGUAGGCUGGCAGCUGCAGCUCUGAUUUGACGCCUAGCCUGGAAACUUCCAUAUGCUGUGGGUAUAACCCUAAAAAGAAAAAAAAAA